GUGAUCAUAGCUCAGCUGGUUAGAGCGCCCGACUGUGACUCGGGAGGUCGCCGGUUCGAUCCCGGUUGGUCACCCCA
Molecule: transfer RNA, 77 nt
Filed under: Vulcanimicrobiota bacterium
Lineage: Bacteria; Bacillati; Vulcanimicrobiota
Description: tRNA-His
Rfam family: tRNA
About the family: Transfer RNA (tRNA) molecules are approximately 80 nucleotides in length.
Source: RNAcentral